Molecule: ribosomal RNA, 439 nt
Filed under: Cybaeus daimonji
Lineage: Eukaryota; Metazoa; Arthropoda; Arachnida; Araneae; Cybaeidae
Description: partial 16S ribosomal RNA
Source: RNAcentral
UUCUAAUAGAACUAAUUAUUAGUAAAAUCUGCUCAAUGAUUUUUAUAUAGCCGCAAUAUAUUUGUGCUAAGGUAGCAUAAUCACUUGUCUUUUAAUUAAAGACUAGAAUGAAAGAUAUUACAUUUAAAUUUCUUUUUAAAAUAAAAAUCUAUAAAUUAUUUUAAAUAUAAUAAAAUAUUUAUACAAAAAAUAGACGAUAAGACCCUAUUGAACUUUACUUUAGUUUAACUGGGGUAGUAAAUUAAAUAUAAUUUUAAUAUUAAUAAAAAAUUACUUUUCCAAUAAAAUUGACUUAAACAAGUUACCAUAGGGAUAACAGCGUAAUAAUUUUUCAAAGAUCUUAUUUAAAAAAUUGUUUACGACCUCGAUGUUGAAUUAAUUACCUUUAAAACGCAAUUAUUUUAUAAAGGAAGUCUGUUCGACUUUUAAUCUAUUACAU